GCAGACGACCCGCGAACACGUCAAGAACACUGGGGGGCGCCACACGGCACCCCUUGUCGGUACGCGCAACCUUCGGGAGUGCGCAUCGGCCCCAAACAAACCCCGGCGCGGUCCGCGCCAAGGAAAACAUAACUCAAAGAUCGCCCCCCUUCCUGUCACCCCGUUCGCGGAGCGUGCCUGGUUGGGCGGUUGGUUCUUAGUGAAAUACACAAACGACUCUCGGCAACGGAUAUCUCGGCUCUCGCAUCGAUGAARAACGCACAGUGAUUGCAGAUCCGUGACCAUCGAGUCUUUGAACGCAAGUUGCGCCCGAAGCCAUUAGGCCGAGGGCACGUCUGCAUGGGCGUCACGCAUCGCGUCGCCCCCCUCACCAUAAAAAGGGAAGAGGGGGAGCGGACAAUGGCCUCCCGUGCCCCCAAGCGCGGCUGGCUGAAAUCGGAGUCCCCCGAAGAGGACGCACGACGAGUGGUGGUUUAUUAGAAGGCCCUCGCGUCGAGUCGUGCGCGUGUCCAACUCUGGGAUUUGGCUCUCGCGACCCUGAUGUGCCUUGUACCAAGGCGCUCYGACCGCGACCCCAUGUCAGGCGGGACUACCCGCUGAAUUUAAGCAUAUCAAAA
Molecule: ribosomal RNA, 617 nt
Filed under: Cyananthus longiflorus
Lineage: Eukaryota; Viridiplantae; Streptophyta; Magnoliopsida; Asterales; Campanulaceae
Description: eukaryotic LSU rRNA
Rfam family: 5.8S ribosomal RNA (bases 215-349)
Source: RNAcentral